GCCGGGAUAGCUCAGUUGGUAGAGCACUGGACUGAAAAUCCAGGUGUCCCCAGUUCAAAUCUGGGUCCCGGCACCA
This 76-nucleotide transfer RNA is filed under the name Pseudomonadota bacterium. Its description in RNAcentral is "Proteobacteria bacterium (cold seep metagenome) tRNA-Phe". It matches the Rfam family "tRNA". Rfam says of the family: Transfer RNA (tRNA) molecules are approximately 80 nucleotides in length. Their secondary structure includes four short double-helical elements and three loops (D, anti-codon, and T loops). The record is from RNAcentral. RNAcentral also lists the same sequence under 2 other names. Lineage: Bacteria; Pseudomonadati; Pseudomonadota.